This 687-nucleotide ribosomal RNA is filed under the name Triticum aestivum (bread wheat). Its description in RNAcentral is "partial small subunit ribosomal RNA". Lineage: Eukaryota; Viridiplantae; Streptophyta; Magnoliopsida; Poales; Poaceae. The record is from RNAcentral.
AUGGCAAAGGUACACCCGAACGUCGCCGCGCCAGAGCUGCUGGCUGGAGGCAGAGCCGUCGUCGAGGAGCAGCAGCCCACGGUGCUGACGGUGUGGCGCAAGUCUCUGCUCUUCAACUGCGACGGCUUCACCGUCUUCGACUCCGCCGGCGGCCUCGCCUUCCGCGUCGACCGCUAUGGCUCGUCGUCGGGGAUCCGGCGCCGCGCCGAGGACGUCGUGCUCAUGGACGCCGCGGGGAAGCCGCUCCUCACAGUGCGGCGCAAGAUCAAGCUGAGCCUGGGCCUGGGGGAGCACUGGGUGGUGUACGACGGCGAGGCGACCGCCUCAACCGCCAAGCCGCUCCUCUCCGUGCGCCGCCAUCACGCCGGCCUCCGCCGCCGCGCGUCCGACAAGACGCUCGCGCACGUCACGCCGCUGGGGCCCUCUUCGGCCGGCGCUGACGCGGCCGCCUACGUCGUGGAGGGGUCGUACGGGCGGCGGAGCUGCGCGGUGCGGGACGUGCGCGGGGGUGCCUCCGUGGCGGAGGUGCAGCGGAAGGAGUCGGUGGGGGACGACGUGUUCCGGCUGGUGGUGCCUGAUCAUCGCCUGGGAACGGCGCUGUCCAUGGGCGUCGUCAUCGCCCUCGACCAGAUGUUCGGCGCCGCCUCGUCGCGGACGUCGCUGCUGAACAGGAGCUGGUCGGCGUAG